AUUUAGGUAGCUUAUUUAAAGCUUAACAUUGAAGCUGUUAUGAAGAUUUUAUUAAUCCCUAAAUA
This 65-nucleotide transfer RNA is filed under the name Orthetrum chrysis. RNAcentral describes it as "tRNA-Phe". The record is from RNAcentral. Lineage: Eukaryota; Metazoa; Arthropoda; Insecta; Odonata; Libellulidae.